AUGCCACCACAGUGGAGAUGGAGGACGCUGCGGGCCUCAGGCGGCUCGGCCGGGCCGGGGUCGAUAGACCUGCUGCUGCGGCCGCCACCGGGGCAGACCCCGCGCCCUCCACCGCCGCACUGCCCGGCCCCGAGGUCUCUGAGGGGGGCCGAGAGCCAGCACCCAGUGAGCCCGUCCGUGCUCGCUGCGGCCCCAGCUUUCCCUACCUGCUCCUGCCCCGCGCCGAGACCCCGCAGCUCAGACAGAGCCAGCAAAUCCUCGCGGUCCCGCCAGCGCUGCGGGCUCCCUCCACCCCUCCCGGGUCUACGGCACCCACAGAGCCGCCACGGGGUGCAAUGGGCCUGGCGGGUUCCAGCGCCGCUGUUGCUCCCGGGUGGCUCCCAGCGGCGGCGGCUCCCCCAGGCGGCGGCGGCUCCCUCAGGCGGCGGCUCCCUCAGGCGGCGGCGGCUCCCUCAGGCGGCGGCUCCCUCAGGCGGCGGCGGCUCCCUCAGGCGGCGGCUCCCUCAGGCGGCGGCGGCUCCCUCAGGCGGUGGCUCCCCCAGGCGGCGGCUCUCAGCGGCGGCGGCUCCCCCAGGCGGCGGCUCCCCCAGGCGGCGGCUCUCAGCGGCGGUGGCUCCCCCAGGCGGCGGCUCUCAGCGGCGGCGGCUCCCCCAGGCGGCGGCUCCCCCAGGCGGCGGCUCUCAGCGGCGGCGGCUCCCCCAGGCGGCGGCUCUCAGCGGCGGUGGCUCCCCCAGGCGGCGGCUCCCUCAGGCGGCGGCGGCUCCCUCAGGCGGCGGCUCCCUCAGGCGGCGGCGGCUCCCUCAGGCGGCGGCUCCCUCAGGCGGCGGCGGCUCCCUCAGGCGGUGGCUCCCCCAGGCGGCGGCUCUCAGCGGCGGCGGCUCCCCCAGGCGGCGGCUCCCCCAGGCGGCGGCUCUCAGCGGCGGUGGCUCCCCCAGGCGGCGGCUCUCAGCGGCGGCGGCUCCCCCAGGCGGCGGCUCCCCCAGGCGGCGGCUCUCAGCGGCGGCGGCUCCCCCAGGCGGCGGCUCUCAGCGGCGGUGGCUCCCCCAGGCGGCGGCUCCCUCAGGCGGUGGCUCCCCCAGGCGGCGGCUCUCAGCGGCGGUGGCUCCCCCAGGCGGCGGCUCCCUCAGGCGGUGGCUCCCCCAGGCGGCGGCUCCCUCAGGCGGCGGCUCCCCCAGGCGGCGGCUCUCAGCGGCGGUGGCUCCCCCAGGCGGCGGCUCCCUCAGGCGGUGGCUCCCCCAGGCGGCGGCUCUCAGCGGCGGUGGCUCUCAGAGCUGCGGCUCGCCCGCCGGGCUGGGCUGCCGGGUCGCGGGGCUGUGCGGCCUGCCCUCCGCUCUCCUGGCUCCUCCGCAACCCACGCACCCAUCCCGCCCCAGCGGCGCUGCUCUGGCUGCCGGCCCCCAGGAGCCUGCUCUGACUGUGCCCCGGGCAGCAGCUGCACCGGCUCCGGACUGA
Molecule: long non-coding RNA, 1452 nt
Filed under: Callithrix jacchus (white-tufted-ear marmoset)
Lineage: Eukaryota; Metazoa; Chordata; Mammalia; Primates; Cebidae
Description: lncRNA (ENSCJAG00000078258.1)
Source: RNAcentral